GUAAUACUCCCCCCGUCUGGAAAUACUUGUCAUCAAAAUGGAUGAGAAGAGAUGUAUCUAGAACUAAAAUACGUCUAGAUACAUCCCCUUUUAUCCAUUUUAAUGACAAGUAUUUUCGGAUGGAGGGAGUACAAC
Molecule: non-coding RNA, 135 nt
Organism: Triticum aestivum (bread wheat)
Lineage: Eukaryota; Viridiplantae; Streptophyta; Magnoliopsida; Poales; Poaceae
Source: Rfam